Molecule: ribosomal RNA, 460 nt
Filed under: uncultured bacterium
Lineage: Bacteria
Description: partial 16S ribosomal RNA
Rfam family: Bacterial small subunit ribosomal RNA
Source: RNAcentral
CCUACGGGUGGCAGCAGUGAGGAAUAUUGGUCAAUGGGCUUACGCCUGAACCAGCCAAGUCGCGUGAGGGAAGACUGCCCUAUGGGUUGUAAACCUCUUUUGUCAGGGAGCAAUUUGCGCUACGUGUAGCGUUAUCGAGAGUACCUGAAGAAAACGCAUCGGCUAACUCCGUGCCAGCAGCAGCGGUAAUACGGAGGCUGUGAGCGUGAUCCGGAUUUAGUGGGUUAAAGGGGUGCGUAGGCGGAAUGCCAAGUCAGCAGUAAAAUCGCGGGGCUCAACCUCUCUCCGCCGUUGAAACUGGCGUUCUUGAGUGAGCGAGAAGUAUGCGGAAUGCGUGGUGUAGCGGUGAAAUGCAUAGAUAUCACGCAGAACUCCGAUUGCGAAGGCAGCAUACCGGGGUCCAACUGACGCUGAAGCACGAAAGCGUGGGUAUCGAACAGGAUUAGAUACCCUAGUAGUC